AUAUAAUUCAAGAAUUGCAGCUCCAAAAUGCUGAAUGCAGCAAGGAUGAAUUUAUUUAAGGACUGCAGCGAGCAUCAAAGAAAUUUCAAAACAAAGAAAGCUAUUUAGAUAUAUCUUGAUUAAGAAAUUUGUUUCAGCUUGAUGUUGCAUUUUUGCUAUCUGGAGUUACUAGAAUAUCUUCUCUUGUUGUAGUACUUCAAGGUUGGAAAGUAAAGACCAAGAGUUAGAAGCAACUACUUUAGCAUAUUCCACUCCAUGUCACCUUGACUAGUGACAUGAAACCUUCCCCAAAAGAUUCUAGAGAACAAUAGGAAGACAAAACAGAGCACAACAUUGGUUUCCAAAUGUGGAGCCAAUUUUCUUAAGAACAAAAAUAUAGUGACAAUAAAGCAUAGAUUUGGACCAAGUUUAAUAAGUUCAUGCAAAAUAACUUGCACUCUCCGUGAAAACUAAAUUUGUCAACUAAAGAGCAAAUAGAUUCAAACAAGAUUCUUGUGUUCCAUAGUAAUUUUCAGGUCCAGGCAUGUUGUUUACCUUGCCUUGCCAGUCCAUAUCCGGUAUCCAUGCCUACCUCUAAAGGAAAUAUCCUUCAUAUUCAAAACUGGGAAUCCAGAUAGAAUCCUAGACAACCCCAACCAUCUAAGUUUUUUUUUUUUUUUAUUCAUAUUCAAAGCAGGCCAUCAACUUACAUACCAGUGAGAAGAGAGCCAAGGAAUCUGCGUCUCAUUAGGUUAUAUUAUUUUUUAUUAUUUUUAUGUUUGGAUGAGCAAAACAGAAAUACGUAAAACAAGAAAGGAAGUAAAACAGAUCAAGGACAACAAGUCCACCUAUAAACAAGUAGGGAAAAAAGCACAACAUAACAAAUCAUAUAUUGCUCUCCAAUCCGGUACUCAAAAAAAUAAGUCGCAAUAUCCACACCUCAAAACUCAAGCAUUCUCUCCAGCCAAAUAAAUAAACAUGGGCACUUGAACUAAUUUGGCUGGUGUACUGUAUAGACUACCCCAAAAAUGGGCAUCACACUUCCUUCUAAGUUGCAUUCUCUAACUAAACUUCAACCAGUACAAACUCAAUCAAUUUAGCUAGUCGCACAACAGAUCUUUCGGUCAUAGUGGUUUCUGUAGAUUUUUCGUCUUUAUAUUUUUCAUUUUCCUUCUGUUGUCCAGACAAGUUUGCGGGCAUUUUUGUUACUAGCCCAGCAUUUUCAAGAAAAUGCACGACUUUUAUAGAGGUGUAUUUUUGUUCAUCCAACAUGUGAGAUUUAAUUCACUUUCUAAAUACAGAUAAUAUGUACUAUACAUUUUCUAUAUAAAAAUGGAGAACAUUCCCUGCAGAAAGGAGAAAAUGACCUACAACCUGCCACGCAGGUUUUCAUAUGCAGUAAACAUUCAACACAUGCACAUUGUAAUUCCUUUAACGUGAUAUUAAUUAUAUGGAGAAGAAGGACGAGUACUCAUACCUUUAGCAAUUGGACCCCCUCUUGAAAAGUAAGCCAUAAGGUCUUUCUCGAGUACUGUACAGCCAAUCAAUCGCAAUAGUCAGCACAAACAAGUGUAUAGCUAUGAAGAAUGGAUUUACAAGAUACAAAUACGAUACAACACGGAUACAGCUGUAACAGAAACUCUGAAAAACUAGGAUAUGGGUAUAGCCAAAAUACGUUAGACUACGAAGUAUCAUUACAAUAUUUUACCAUUGCAGUACGUAUAAUGCAAGUAUGGUGAGAACCGUUUUGUGCUCUUCGUGUGCAAAAGUGUUGUACACAAGUUUACACGGUUACUUGUUGAAAUCCAAUUUUAUGAACACAUGUAUGCCACAAUAAAUGUAUUAAAAACAAUUAAAAAUAUUGAUACAAUUUUCAUCAUAAUAAAUCUUCCUCUCUCUAAAAAGUAAAGUAUUAGACAUUAACAUUAUCUGAAUCCCUAUUUCCUAACAAUUUACUCAACUACUGUGCAAGAAGUGCCACAAUCUUAAUUUCAUAAAGUUCAAAUACAUGACCAAGACUAACCAAAAGGGAUCCGAUAUUUCAAUAAUCAAAAAAUUAAUUCAUACACAGUCGAUGCUUAUGAAAUAUGCAUCCGUGAUUAUGGGAGGAGAAUCAGCAUGCAAUAAGGAUACAACUCCCAUAUAGAAGUUAUUUGUGCAAAAUAGGAGUAUACCCACUUGAUAGGAAUAUUAAAAUCGUUUAUAUUAACUUUCAUAUAAUAACAUCAGAAUCUACAUCACAUUGAUAAUGGUUCACAGAAAUUUAAAGGCUCAAAUGGAUAUUGUUUUCCAAUGGCUUCAAGCUCUUUCUGGCAUCUUUCAUUCAAACUGUCAAACAAUUCAACAAACAAGCGGUCCACACUGUCCAUAACCUGCAUGAAAAAGCUAGGCAUCUUAACAUCACACAGGUUAUAACCUUUGUUAAUUGGGGAUCCUUACACUCAUAAGCCACCAACUCAAUUACCUCAGAAUAGUGCUCCUUGAUCUCCAUCUCAACAUCAAGACCUGUAAACUCGCACAAGUGUCUGUGGGUAAAGGAAUCCUCUGCUCUGAAAACAGGACCUACCUCAAAAACACAGCCAAAAUCACC
Molecule: long non-coding RNA, 2569 nt
Organism: Rhododendron vialii
Lineage: Eukaryota; Viridiplantae; Streptophyta; Magnoliopsida; Ericales; Ericaceae
Exons: 2
Source: RefSeq, a predicted model, not a curated record